CUUUUAAAGGAUAUUAGACAUCCAUUAGCCUUAGGAGUU
RNAcentral lists this transfer RNA (39 nucleotides) under Psammodromus blanci. RNAcentral's name for it is "partial tRNA-Leu". The record is from RNAcentral. Lineage: Eukaryota; Metazoa; Chordata; Lepidosauria; Squamata; Lacertidae.